RNAcentral lists this RNase MRP RNA (202 nucleotides) under Blepharisma stoltei. It matches the Rfam family "RNase MRP". Rfam says of the family: RNase MRP is an enzymatically active ribonucleoprotein with two distinct roles in eukaryotes. In mitochondria it plays a direct role in the initiation of mitochondrial DNA replication. The record is from RNAcentral. Lineage: Eukaryota; Ciliophora; Heterotrichea; Heterotrichida; Blepharismidae.
UUUUAAGAAGCAGAGUUGCAAUCGAACAACACAUAAAGGCGUUUAUCGCUUAAGAUUGUUUGGGGAAAGUCCCCGGGCCGAGGGUAGAAAGUACCACUCUUGAAUGAGAACCCCUGGAUUCCUAAUGGAAGUGGAGUCCUGGUCUUUGCCAUAGCACAGUUAUGCAACUAUGGAAACUCAACGGGGCUUAUUGCUUUUUAAG